UGGGGAAUAUUGGACAAUGGACCAAGAGUCUGAUCCAGCAAUUCUGUGUGCACGAUGACGUUUUUCGGAAUGUAAAGUGCUUUCAGUUGGGAAGAAAAAAAUGACGGUACCAGCAGAAGAAGUGACGGCUAAUACGUGCCAGCAGCCGCGGUAAUACGUAUGUCACGAGCGUUAUCCGGAUUUAUUGGGCGUAAAGCGCGUCUAGGUGGUUAUGUAAGUCUGAUGUGAAAAUGCAGGGCUCAACUCUGUAUUGCGUUGGAAACUGUGUAACUAGAGUACUGGAGAGGUAAGCGGAACUACAAGUGUAGAGGUGAAAUUCGUAGAUAUUUGUAGGAAUGCCGAUGGGGAAGCCAGCUUACUGGACAGAUACUGACGCUGAAGCGCGAAAGCGUGGGUAGCAAACAGGAUUAGAUACCCUGGUAGUCCACGCCGUAAACGAUGAUUACUAGGUGUUGGGGGUCGAACCUCAGCGCCCAAGCAAACGCGAUAAGUAAUCCGCCUGGGGAGUACGUACGCAAGUAUG
RNAcentral lists this ribosomal RNA (523 nucleotides) under uncultured bacterium. RNAcentral describes it as "bacterial SSU rRNA". It matches the Rfam family "Bacterial small subunit ribosomal RNA", at positions 355 to 896 of the family's 1533-position model. The record is from RNAcentral.